CCUGAACACGCCUGAUCUCGUCUGAUCUCGGAAGCUAAGCAGG
Gopherus agassizii (Agassiz's desert tortoise) is the source of this 43-nucleotide ribosomal RNA. The record is from Ensembl. NCBI's taxonomy places the organism in Eukaryota, Metazoa, Chordata, Testudines, Testudinidae.